Molecule: long non-coding RNA, 486 nt
Filed under: Trifolium pratense (red clover)
Lineage: Eukaryota; Viridiplantae; Streptophyta; Magnoliopsida; Fabales; Fabaceae
Description: long non-coding RNA (TPRA_LNC005206)
Source: RNAcentral
GCACCCAAGACACUAGGAACUUAACACAAACCACUUUGCCAUUUGACUUCUUUUGUAACUAUAUCUCCGCAAUAAUACAUGAGCAAUGCUUUGUAUGUUGGGCUUGAAAACAAAUAUUGAGGCCCUCAAAUUUAGAGACAAUCAAUAGAGACGGAAAUACUCAGAGACAGAUAUUUUUCGUCUCUAAUAAAAGUUUGACUAUUAUAAUAACAAUUUGACUUGUUAGAGACGGAUAUAGAGACAAAAAAAUUAGACACGGUUAAAGUUCGUCUCUAAAAUUUGUCUCAAACUAUUAUUUUCUAUUUAUAAUUAUAAAAAUAAUCAACUAGAGACAGAUUUAGAGACAGGGUGAUUUAGAGACGGGAUAUUCGGUCUCUAACAUCUGUCACUAAUACACAUAUUUUAAUUUUCGUCUCUGAUUGUUUUUUUCUGUCUCUAAUUUCGUCUCUAAUAGAGAAGAAACAAAUUCCGUCUCUAAAUUCCGUC